AUCUGUAAAGAAAUGAGCCUGUCCCUGGGGCCAGCAAUGACAAACCAAGCUGUGAACUGACCUUGCUCCACGUCUCCCAUGAGAGAGGUUUCUGAGAAAAGAGCCAGAAAUCAAACCUGGAACCUGUUGCUGCUAAUCAAAUCAUGAUAGAAAGUUUAUUUACGGAGAAAAAUACCACAGGAGCUAGAGCUUCAUGAUUUCUAUCAAAAG
Non-coding RNA from Taeniopygia guttata (zebra finch), 210 nucleotides. Lineage: Eukaryota; Metazoa; Chordata; Aves; Passeriformes; Estrildidae. The record is from RefSeq and is a predicted model, not a curated record.